GAAGAGCAGGGCUCGUAGGGGGGUCUGCUCCUGGGGUGGGGGGCAGCAGGAGGGGGUGGCAGUGGCCCCCUGUGCUGCCAGCAUCACCUGCAGCCCUGCCAGGCAGGGGAUGCUGUCUGCCCAUGAAGCCCUGACUGGGGGGGGGGGGGCAGUGGGUUUUGGGGCCGCUGUGCCCACCCCUGGUGUGAAGCAUUGCUCACGAUUUGUACAACUGCGGCCACUGCAUCAGCAAUAAAGCUCACCCAACGCUUCCGUGCGCCUCGGGGACAGGGCUGGGGGGACCGUCACCCCCCAGGAGCCACAGCCACUUCACCCCUGCUGCACACCAAGGUCCUGGGAGGGGGGUCCUGGGGUUGUUUGGAUGCAGCUCCCUUCUGGGGCAGCUCUGGCAGCACCCAGAGCCCUGCCAUGGGGACACCACAACUGGGACACCCCAAAAAAAACAAAAGGGCACCUCACCCCAAAAUUGGGCACCCUGAGGCCACCUGGGCACCCCAAAUUGGGCACCCAGCCGCUGUUGGAUAUCCAGAACCAGGCACCCCCCAGCCACGCAGUCACCCCCAGCUGGGCACCCUGGGGCCACACAGAGCUGUGCCAGGGCUCCUCAGAGGCGGUGAUGGCAGCACCCAGCUGAGGCCAGAUCUGCAGUGCAGGUGGGCACCGAGAUGGGCCCUUGGGGGGGCUCCCUCCUUUCUUGGGGUUCCCCUGGCUGCAGGCUGCGUGGCUGAGUGGCAGGUUCUGGAAACGGGGAGAAAUGCCUUUAUUUGGGCAUUUCACACGAGGACACCCGUGCAGCGCGGGCGGGCGGCCAGCCUGGCUGGGGGGAGGCAUGAGGACACAGGGGUGAGGGGGGCCCCACCACCCCCAGCCCCGCUGCUGCCCCCCGGGGUCACACUGCUCAUCGGGGACGGGGACAGAGCAGGGGUGUCUGGGGGUGUGGGAGUUUGGGGGUGCUUGGCACCCUGCUGGGGGCACCUAUGUGUGGGGGCGUGGUACCCAGAGACCCCAUGGGACACCGCAAGUGGGUUACCCUGGGGUGAACCCAAAAUGGGCACGGUGGGGCACCCCGGAGCCCUCUGGGCACCCAAACCAGGCACCUUGGGGAACCCAGACCGGGCACCGUGGAGCCCUCAGGUCACCCAAACCGGGCGCCUUGGAGCACCCAAACCGGGCACCGUCCUGGAGGCCCCCCGGAGCCCUCUGGGCACCGAAUCGGAGCACCGUGGGGCACCCACACCGGGCACCUG
RNAcentral lists this long non-coding RNA (1247 nucleotides) under Anas platyrhynchos platyrhynchos (common mallard). Its description in RNAcentral is "lncRNA (ENSAPLG00000021971.1)". Lineage: Eukaryota; Metazoa; Chordata; Aves; Anseriformes; Anatidae. The record is from RNAcentral.